This 345-nucleotide ribosomal RNA is filed under the name Triticum aestivum (bread wheat). RNAcentral's name for it is "partial small subunit ribosomal RNA". Lineage: Eukaryota; Viridiplantae; Streptophyta; Magnoliopsida; Poales; Poaceae. The record is from RNAcentral.
AUGUCUAGCACUAAACCUAGCGACAUUGAUCCAUUUGACACUGUCUACUCAAACAUUCCAGACAACACUCACAUCCUGAAACUCGACGAAAAUUGCAAACACUGCAAGGCCAGAACGUUUGAGUCUGAGACUGACGGCUUCUGCUGUCGCAAUGGCCAGAUCCAGCUUAAGCAACCGGAACCAAUCCCGGAGCUUAUGAGGCUAUGGUCCAGCAUGGAUGCAGAUUCUAGACAUUUUCGGGAGAACAUACGGUUCUUCAACGGGCAUUUCGCCUUCACAACCCUUGGUGUCAGCCUUGAUGAAAACUACACGAACAUGAAGUCUGGGGUGUACACAGUCCGAGCA